Hippocampus comes (tiger tail seahorse) is the source of this 369-nucleotide long non-coding RNA. RefSeq lists it as uncharacterized. The transcript is spliced from 2 exons. NCBI's taxonomy places the organism in Eukaryota, Metazoa, Chordata, Actinopteri, Syngnathiformes, Syngnathidae. The record is from RefSeq and is a predicted model, not a curated record.
CCGGGCCGACCACUCGAUGGUUGAGUUUCUGCUACUGGUAUGCAUUUUUGUUAGUUACUUUGGAUUCUUGUUGUUUUUACGGCUUUUUUUUUCAGGAUUUUCUCAUUGUUUUGUUCAUACAGUUUGUCAAGGUCACCCAGCUCCUCCCUCCCUCCUGCUUUUUGGGAUCCCACACCACCACGCUCAUGACACAAACAGCCGCCUCUUCCUACGCAAGUCCUGCGCUUGGCUAGAAGUGAAGAAAGACAGAACGAAAUGUCGAAACAACGCUGUGCUUCUCGUGACGUCUUUCCUUUCCUGCCUCUUAAACACCUGACUGACUUUUUUUUUCUAUUUUUUUUCGAAAAAUAAAUACACUGCCCUCCUUGA